RNAcentral lists this transfer RNA (65 nucleotides) under Thienemanniella xena. RNAcentral's name for it is "tRNA-Gly". The record is from RNAcentral. Lineage: Eukaryota; Metazoa; Arthropoda; Insecta; Diptera; Chironomidae.
AUUUAUAUAAUAUAAAAAGUAUAGUUAACUUCCAAUUAACAAGUCUAAAAUAUUUAGUAUAAAUA